Long non-coding RNA from Podarcis raffonei (Aeolian wall lizard), 3083 nucleotides. RefSeq lists it as uncharacterized. NCBI's taxonomy places the organism in Eukaryota, Metazoa, Chordata, Lepidosauria, Squamata, Lacertidae. The transcript is spliced from 3 exons. The record is from RefSeq and is a predicted model, not a curated record.
CGCCAACGGCCGCGCGGGCUCACGGGUCCUUUCGGAGACAGAAUGCAGGGCCAGCCGAGACAGGGAGGCGGUGGUGGUGGUGCUAGAAGAAUCGCGCGAUAUUUGAACGACCGGGGACCUUUGACACAAAGGUGGGUUAAAAAUACCCAAAAACAGAACAAAAAAUCCCUCUCCCAAAAGCUCCUUGGUGCCGUCUCCCAGGUCUAGGUGUCACAAGCCACAACUGCUACAAUUCUCUGGACACAUGAAAUGACAAUGCAGCAGUUUAAGCAUGAGUUGUAGAUAUAGUCAAAGAGGUGAGAAGUAAUAUCCGACACUGCAGAUUCCUAGGUUGCCUCUCAUGGCCAUUGUAACCAAGUGACCAUUAAUAUUACUGCACCAAUGGAGUAGCAGGCAAGUAUCCAACUGCCAUUUUGCUUUGUUUACUGCAAUUACAUUUGAUACAGUCUGCCCUCGGAGCAGCUAUUUAGACCCCAUUGGGCAUCGCUGUGUAUGAAAACACAUGCAUGUCCCAGUCCAACGAGGGAGAUCUGUGUAUUGAGGAAAGCUUUCAUGUGCAUAGUGGAUGCACACACGCACCUGGAUCCCACAACCACAUUGCAUUGCUCACCAAGGCCCUGCUGAUGGGUGGAUGUGUCCUUUGAUGCAGCUGGCAUUGCACACCCCCACCCAGCCCCACCAGCUGUUAUGCACAAUUAAGAGCUGGAUCAAGGCCAGAAGCAAUUAACAAGUUCUCCUGCUGAAACUUCACUUGUGACUCUGUCCUCUCAGAACACAACACAACACUCCCUUCUUGGCCAAGAGAUGAAAGAAAAGAAUUAGGAACAUUCUUACGCUUUGGAGCAGAAUAAAAUAAAACCUGGGAACUUUGGGAAUAGCUUUUGGGGGAGGAAAUGUUUAUUUCUUCCUGCUGAACUUUACUCUGCCCAUAAUUAUAAAGAGCACUUAAAGGACAAGGAUUUGCAACCCCAGGUGGAAAAUGUCCAUUUUGAAAUGAACAGUUGGGUAAGUACAUAUGGUUCCCAAUGCAUUUUGAGGAAACUAGAAAUAGCACCACUUUCAUUUUGAUUACCCCAAAUGUUUAUGUAUAUGUAAUAUAGUCCACAUGCCAAAGUGAAUUUUAUUUGUAGCAGGAUGUGAUCCAUGUUUCUUUUGACCAUGGAGGAAAUAUUAUAUGUAAUUUUUUUCCUAAAUAAGUUAGGUUGGAUGCUGAAUCCCUAAGAAUAUAUAAAAAUGGAAAUGUUUAAUGCUUCUUCAUUAAAAACUGCUCUGGACUGGUGUUUAUAAAGAAGCAUUAAACAUGAAGAGGCCUUUGAAACAUGCAGGGACCCAUAUUUACUUGUGCAUCUGCCCAUUUUGUUUUCCAGAAAAAGCAGCUACCAUAACUUGCACAUGGAGUGUAUGGCAUUGAACUUGUAGCCCUUCUGUUCUUGAUCGAAUUCUAUCAGCAUCAGCCAGCAUGAACAAUGGUCAGGGAUAAUGGGAAUUGUAGUCCAAUGACAUCUGGAGGGCCACAGGUUCAUCACCCCUGGUGUAUGAUUUUGUCAGCAGAGUAGCUGUUACAGCACAGCAUCAUUAUAGUGAUAUAUAGAGGGGAUUUCACACUAAACCUAGUCCAGUUUAAUCAGCAUUCAACCGGGAUAUGCUCAUAUAAUUACAAAUUCUCUACCAUAACCUCCCCUUCAGUUUGGCUGUUCUCGCAAGGCAUGUUUUGUUUUAAAAGCCCACGUGCUCCUGUGUGGUUCACUGCAGACUGAGACUUCAUUGUGUUUCCUUUUCUCACCAAUUAUUUUAUUUUGGCACUUUUGAAAACCUCCACUUUGCAGUAUUAAUCCUUUUCAACAACAAACAAGUCAGUUGCUUCGUCAGGUCUCUGGGCAUUGAAUCAAAAUAGGAAAAGACAGUCUGUCAAGUGUGUUCUGUGCAUCGGUGAUUAGAAGCUAGCCACAGAAACACUUUCAAGCUAUGGAGAAGAAAUUAAUUAUCAAAGGCUGCAUAUGUACAUAGAGGAACUAUUAUAUGCUCAUUGCAACUACAUUGCAGUAGAUUUGUGCACUAUGAGUUGUGGACAUGUUCCCCUUGGGGGUAGAUUUCUGUCUUUCUCUAACUUUAAGAUUGCAGUCUAAAGUAAGAAAUGGGGAAGUUGGUGGGAGCAGUGAUCACAGAGAUAUGGGACAAGGAGAGGCUAUGAAUAUUUCCCUCUUAUUCAACCAACAAAGUUAACUUUUUAUUUCAUUAUUGAUAUGACUACUGUGUCUGAGAUUAGACAGGCACCCUCCUUGCUGAGCUUCAGGUACAUGACAAGUGCUUUCUUAUUUCAACAGGCAUUUUAAAGUAGUGUUGGGUUUAUUAUGAUUUUUUAAUUGUUAUUCUAUGCAUGGUUUAUUUUUAUUUUUUUGUAAUUUUACUUGCACUGCUUAGAAAUAUUAAUCAGUAUAUAAUAAAUACAAUAAACACACAUUCUAAAUUGGCAGAUAUGACAUAAUCCAUAGAAUCAUGUGUUCUAGGGUUUACUUCCAAGUAAGCAUGGAGAGUAUUGCAGCUGCCAACUUUGAGCAUAAGCACUCUUGAAGCAUCCUGACUGCAGCCUAAUUAUAUAUGUUGCACACAGUUGUAAUUUGAAUUUAUCACUCUGAGAGUAGACAGGUCUUAAGUAAAGUCUACAGCAGGCAUAGGCAAAUUCAGCCCUCCAGAUGUUUUGGGACUACAACUCCCAUCAUCCCUAGCUAAUAGGACCAGUGGUCAGGGAUGAUGGGAGUUGUGGUCCCAAAACAUCUGGAGGGCCGAGUUUGCCUAUGCCUGCUCUACAGGGUUCUAUGAUUCAAUGGUUAUCUUAACUUAAUAAGCAAUCCUCCAACAGUUAUUAAGCCUAGAAACUGAAUAUAGAUUUCAAACACUGAAUUUUCAUCUCAAGCAAUUUCUUUAAGAAGUCAAACAAUUUACAAACAUUUUUAUUAGUUACAUUUUUUUAUUUGUCUCAAUGGACUGUUCAUCUGUGAUUGAAGUGCCUUUUCUAUAGAUUUGACACCAAACACUAACUUUUCAUAUAAAUUUUAUUAAUUUAUAGGCCAGAAGAACUUUUU